RNAcentral lists this microRNA precursor (106 nucleotides) under Ananas comosus (pineapple). Its description in RNAcentral is "MIR397 microRNA precursor family". It matches the Rfam family "MIR397 microRNA precursor family". The record is from Rfam by way of RNAcentral. Lineage: Eukaryota; Viridiplantae; Streptophyta; Magnoliopsida; Poales; Bromeliaceae.
AUCAAACGCAUCAUUGAGUGCAGCGUUGAUGACCGUCACGAACUCGAUCGAAUUUACACCCGUAGUUCGAGAGGUUUCAUCGGCGCUGCACUCAAUCAUGUCUUUG